CGCUGGCGGCACGCCUAACACAUGCAAGUCGAACGAAGUAGCAAUACUUAGUGGCAGACGGGUGAGUAACAUGUAGGUAUCUACCCCAUGGCCUGGAAUAACACGAGGAAACUUGUGCUAAUACCGGAUAAGUCUUUACGGAGAAAGCUUUAUGCACCAUUGGAUGAGCCUGCACUUGAUUAGUUUGUUGGUAGGGUAAUGGCCUACCAAGACUUUGAUCAAUAGCUGAUUUGAGAGGAUGAUCAGCCACAUUGGGACUGAGACACGGCCCAAACUCCUACGGGAGGCAGCAGUGGGGAAUCUUGCACAAUGGAGGAAACUCUGAUGCAGCGAUGCCGCGUGAGUGAAGAAGGCCCUUGGGUUGUAAAGCUCUUUCGUCGGGGAAGAAAAUGACUGUACCCGAAUAAGAAGGUCCGGCUAACUUCGUGCCAGCAGCCGCGGUAAUACGAAGGGACCUAGCGUAGUUCGGAAUUACUGGGCUUAAAGAGUUCGUAGGUGGUUGAAAAAGUUGGUGGUGAAAUCCCAGAGCUUAACUCUGGAACUGCCAUCAAAACUUUUCAGCUUGAGUUUGAUAGAGGAAAGCAGAAUUUCUAGUGUAGAGGUGAAAUUCGUAGAUAUUAGAAAGAAUACCAAUUGCGAAGGCAGCUUUCUGGAUCAUUACUGACACUGAGGAACGAAAGCAUGGGUAGCGAAGAGGAUUAGAUACCCUCGUAGUCCAUGCCGUAAACGAUGUGUGUUAGACGUUGGAAAUUUAUUUUCAGUGUCGCAGCGAAAGCGAUAAACACACCGCCUGGGGAGUACGACCGCA
This 808-nucleotide ribosomal RNA is filed under the name uncultured Pelagibacteraceae bacterium. RNAcentral describes it as "bacterial SSU rRNA". It matches the Rfam family "Bacterial small subunit ribosomal RNA", at positions 34 to 890 of the family's 1533-position model. Lineage: Bacteria; Pseudomonadati; Pseudomonadota; Alphaproteobacteria; Candidatus Pelagibacterales; Candidatus Pelagibacteraceae. The record is from RNAcentral.